RNAcentral lists this unclassified non-coding RNA (345 nucleotides) under Hevea brasiliensis (rubber tree). Lineage: Eukaryota; Viridiplantae; Streptophyta; Magnoliopsida; Malpighiales; Euphorbiaceae. The record is from RNAcentral.
CUUGGCGGCAAGCUGCGGCAGAUAGACGACAUAGACCGUCCAGCCCAGGGUGAAGAACAGUUGAAGCAGCGCGAGAUAGACGCCGACCUUGCCGUUGCCGCCGGCGAUGGCGCCCUCNNNNNNNNNNNUCGUCUUGACCACGCUCAUAUCUACCCGACCCCAACACCCAUCGAACAAUAAGACCGGCCCAAGCGCCGUCGCAAGCGGCGGCGGCCGGCCCCCCUUGGUUGGACGGCCAAACUGCGAAGCCGGGUCAAACGCCGAAUUGCCUCGUUGCGCCAAGGCAUUGCUCAGCGAAUGAGGUUUUGGUGGAAAGUUUGGCCGUUCGCGGGACUCAACCUGAAC